Molecule: non-coding RNA, 71 nt
Organism: Myotis lucifugus (little brown bat)
Lineage: Eukaryota; Metazoa; Chordata; Mammalia; Chiroptera; Vespertilionidae
Source: Rfam
GCCUCGGUGGUUCAGUGGUAGAACGUCGACCUAUGAACCUGGAGGUCACGGUUCGAUUCCAUGUCAGGGCA